ACCCUUUAAUGUUUGAUGUUCUAACGUGGACCCGUAAUCCGGGUUGCGGACAGUGUCUGGUGGGUAGUUUGACUGGGGCGGUCUCCUCCUAAAGAGUAACGGAGGAGCACGAAGGUUGGCUAAUCCUGGUCGGACAUCAGGAGGUUAGUGCAAUGGCAUAAGCCAGCUUGACUGCGAGCGUGACGGCGCGAGCAGGUGCGAAAGCAGGUCAUAGUGAUCCGGUGGUUCUGAAUGGAAGGGCCAUCGCUCAACGGAUAAAAGGUACUCCGGGGAUAACAGGCUGAUACCGCCCAAGAGUUCAUAUCGACGGCGGUGUUUGGCACCUCGAUGUCGGCUCAUCACAUCCUGGGGCUGAAGUAGGUCCCAAGGGUAUGGCUGUUCGCCAUUUAAAGUGGUACGCGAGCUGGGUUUAGAACGUCGUGAGACAGUUCGGUCCCUAUCUGCCGUGGGCGCUGGAGAACUGAGGGGGGCUGCUCCUAGUACGAGAGGACCGGAGUGGACGCAUCACUGGUGUUCGGGUUGUCAUGCCAAUGGCACUGCCCGGUAGCUAAAUGCGGAAGAGAUAAGUGCUGAAAGCAUCUAAGCACGAAACUUGCCCCGAGAUGAGUUCUCCCUGAGACUUAGAGUCUCCUGAAGGAACGUUGAAGA
This 648-nucleotide ribosomal RNA is filed under the name Salmonella enterica subsp. enterica. RNAcentral's name for it is "partial 23S ribosomal RNA". It matches the Rfam family "Bacterial large subunit ribosomal RNA", at positions 2202 to 2844 of the family's 2925-position model. The record is from RNAcentral. RNAcentral also lists the same sequence under 2 other names. Lineage: Bacteria; Pseudomonadati; Pseudomonadota; Gammaproteobacteria; Enterobacterales; Enterobacteriaceae.